UACGGAGGGUGCAAGCGUUGUCCGGAAUCAUUGGGCGUAAAGAGCUCGUAGGCGGCCUGUCGCGUCUGCUGUGAAAUCCCGGGGCUUAACCCCGGGCGUGCAGUGGAUACGGGCUGGCUGGAGGCAGGCAGGGGAGAACAGAAUUCCCGGUGUAGCGGUGAAAUGCGCAGAUAUCGGGAGGAACACCGGUGGCGAAGGCGGUUCUCUGGGCCUGUACUGACGCUGAGGAGCGAAAGCGUGGGGAGCGAACAGG
RNAcentral lists this ribosomal RNA (253 nucleotides) under uncultured bacterium. Its description in RNAcentral is "partial 16S ribosomal RNA". It matches the Rfam family "Bacterial small subunit ribosomal RNA", at positions 524 to 776 of the family's 1533-position model. The record is from RNAcentral.